CUCAGUUCAGAUUGCAGGCUGCAACCCGCCUGCAUGAAGUCGGAAUUGCUAGUAAUCGCGGAUCAGCAUGCCGCGGUGAAUACGUUCCCGGGCCUUGUACACACCGCCCGUCACACCAUGAGAGUCGGGAACACCCGAAGUCCGUAGCCUAACCGCGAAGGGGGGCGCGGCCGAAGGUGGGUUCGAUAAUUGGGGUGAAGUCGUAACAAGGUACC
This 215-nucleotide ribosomal RNA is filed under the name uncultured bacterium. RNAcentral's name for it is "partial 16S ribosomal RNA". It matches the Rfam family "Bacterial small subunit ribosomal RNA", at positions 1287 to 1500 of the family's 1533-position model. The record is from RNAcentral.